UAAGAUCGUUCGACGCUUGUUCGUUAUAUUGGUCGAGUGAAAAUUCGGUUGUGAAAGUUGCGUUUAUACACAUUUGAAUAUAUCUACGUAGGUACGCACCACACGAAAGUUGGGAAGGAGGGCUUCUCGCGUUCACCGCACGGUACGGGACUAAAGGGUUUUUCGAGGGGAGGGGACUCGGCUGUGUAUCAAACAACCAAUUUCCCAACUUGCUGUCAUACCUAUAUCGAUGACUGCAGUCGGGAAGGGGUCACGAGUUCCGGAAUGCUGUAGGACGGAAUCGGAAUGUAGAAGCAGCGGUCGCGAAGAAAGGAAGAGCGUAUGACUGGCUUUGGACCACACACCCCGUCCUGCUUCCAGGGUUAGGCAAAGAGACACGUACAACCCAUUCAACUGUAUUCGACGCGUUCAUCCGUCGUCGUAGUCGGCCGUUCCUGAUGUUCGGAACUACAGGACUGCGUUCACCUCGACACCGGUUUUCACUUUUCAUAAUAACCCUGUCGCGAGGGAGGGAUGAAAAGGACCGGAAAUAAUAAAAACUGUUGUUUCAUUGACAAUUCCGACGUCACCGCGUCAGAUUUCCAUGAUUUCGACGAAUGACAACACCUCACCCCUCAGAGGAGGUAAAAUUGACCGACAAUCACGUGUGAUGAAAUAAAGAAGAUUCGAAAAACUGUCAGCGUGUACAACGAAGACCGCGAUGAGUUCGGUACCUCAUACCUAUCCGUUGUCGAGGGGCGGGAGAAUAAAAAGUCUCGGCGAAGUGACUCCGCCAAGAAGUCGGAGGUGUGCAGAGCAUCGCGUACGUCGUCGGCCCUUAACCACCGAGUCACAGAGCGGCUUCAGGAACGCACACCGCUCACGUGUUUAUGAUUGUUUUUAAUGAGCUUGUGGCCCGGCACGUUCUGACUACAUUAGCAAGUCAGCUUCUGCCGCUCCUACGACGUCCCCGGAGGGCUAGUCUGCUAAAAGAAUUAGCAAAGUUCUGCACCAUCUCGAGUUGACCUCGGACACCUAGAAUUAGUGUCAUCACUGUUUAAAACUUUAUUUCAUUUUUAUUCGAAUGGUUAAUUCUUCUUAAGCCCAUUCUCAACCGGGGCUCUGACGAAUUAACCGCGUGUAAAAGGAAAGUUUUUACUAUCCAUUUUCAUCACAGAUUUUCUGUCCGUUCCUCGAGGCAAAUGUCGCCAAACUUAUUCCCAAGAUCGAAUUUCAAUACUCCCUCGUCAUCGUGUAAUUCUGAAACAGCGGAUAUACUAAUAAAA
Long non-coding RNA from Athalia rosae (coleseed sawfly), 1265 nucleotides. RefSeq lists it as uncharacterized. NCBI's taxonomy places the organism in Eukaryota, Metazoa, Arthropoda, Insecta, Hymenoptera, Athaliidae. The transcript has 3 exons. The record is from RefSeq and is a predicted model, not a curated record.